UGGCUCAAUGGUAGAGUGCUUGCCUUGCAUGCAUGAGGCCCUGGGUUCGAUUCCUCAG
This is a non-coding RNA of Dipodomys ordii (Ord's kangaroo rat), 58 nucleotides long. NCBI's taxonomy places the organism in Eukaryota, Metazoa, Chordata, Mammalia, Rodentia, Heteromyidae. The record is from Rfam.